GACGGGGGCCCGCACAAGCGGUGGAGCAUGUGGUUUAAUUCGAAGCAACGCGAAGAACCUUACCAGGUCUUGACAUCCUUUGACCACUCUAGAGAUAGAGCUUCCCCUUCGGGGGCAAAGUGACAGGUGGUGCAUGGUUGUCGUCAGCUCGUGUCGUGAGAUGUUGGGUUAAGUCCCGCAACGAGCGCAACCCUUAUUGUUAGUUGCCAUCAUUUAGUUGGGCACUCUAGCGAGACUGCCGGUGACAAACCGGAGGAAGGUGGGGAUGACGUCAAAUCAUCAUGCCCCUUAUGACCUGGGCUACACACGUGCUACAAUGGGAAGUACAACGAGUUGCGAAGUCGCGAGGCUAAGCUAAUCUCUUAAAGCUUCUCUCAGUUCGGAUUGUAGGCUGCAACUCGCCUACAUGAAGCCGGAAUCGCUAGUAAUCGCGGAUCAGCACGCCGCGGUGAAUACGUUCCCGGGCCUUGUACACACCGCCCGUCACACCACGAGAGUUUGUAACACCCGAAGUCGGUGAGGUAACCUUUUUGGAGCCAGCCGCCUAAGGUGGGAUAGAUGAUUGGGGUGAAGUCGUAACAAGGUAGCCG
RNAcentral lists this ribosomal RNA (590 nucleotides) under Listeria monocytogenes. RNAcentral describes it as "bacterial SSU rRNA". It matches the Rfam family "Bacterial small subunit ribosomal RNA", at positions 912 to 1502 of the family's 1533-position model. Lineage: Bacteria; Bacillati; Bacillota; Bacilli; Caryophanales; Listeriaceae. The record is from RNAcentral.